GCCCUCUUCGGCUUCCAUCCGCCACCGGUGCACUGCUUUCUGUUGCCCCCUGGUGUCGCCCCGCUUGCAUAUCCAACCAACAGGCUCAGCUCGAUGCUCAGCCUCGGCGCGGUUCGCUAGGAGCCCUCGGUGUCGGUGUUGUCGCUGCCUGUCGUAUUCCCGCGAUCCCCUUCUCCCUGCCGCCAGCUGUUCUGCAUCUUGCGGAGCGCCCGCUUCCUGUGGGGCCCGCAGUGUGAGCAGGUAGAGUGGCCCAACUGCUCGUGCUCAAACUCUUCAGGGAUAGUCCUGCCUGUCCUUCACAGACCUGCCCUCCCAAGGACCCCUUCAGGAUACUCUGCUAUGGAUCAAGGAGCGGCACUUGCUCCCACCCUGGCUCCAGGAAGUUCCCCAAAGUGCUCUGGGCAGUACCUUUAGUCUGAACGGUUGCAGGUCUCCGGGGAGCUUGUGUGCAGGCCAGGUUGAUGUCACCCACCCAGGGUAUCACAGCCAGCAAAAGCCUGUGCUUAAGGAGCCUGCGAUGUAGAGCCUGUCUCUUGCGUCUCUGCUUAUUCUGGUAAGUUCCAUGCCAUAGCUGCCGCAGAUGGGGCCCAGCCGUAUUGUUGCCAGGGUCAGACCCUGAGCGUGAACUAGGGAGGAGUGGCUGCUUCGGUCUUUCCUUCAUCAGUGUGUGACUCUGGGUGGGUGGACGAGUCCUGAUUAACUUCGGCAUUUUCUCUAGGGGCACCUUCAACACAGGCUGUAUAUCAAGAGGAUCUGGUACAGGCCUGCCACUGUGCACGUUUAACGCCCCCUUGUAAGAACACCACUUGCUAUUUGCGAAAAUACUCUGUGGUAAGGCUAAUGUGGCCUUAAAGUAGGGCCUGUCUUAGUGCCCUCUCUAAGACAGAUGCUCUGGCCCAAUGGCAGGCAGUACCAUGGCUGAGCUGACUGCAUUGUCCCUCCAGCAAUCCCCAGUGCAGAGCAGCAGAGCAGCCUGUAUAGUCCAAAAGGCUGCUCCAGCCACUGCCAGAGCUAAUCUGGCUGGCCCCAGGCCCAGCACUGAGGACAGAGGGGGACAGGUCAAUGCACAGCCAGCCAAGUUGGACUGACACUACCCAAGGACACCUCCACGACUCAUGGCAGUUGAGGAUGGGGAACUGCCUACUAUCUAAGUGCCCUUAAGCAGAAAUUCUUACAACCUUUAAAGCAAAUGACUUGGGGACAAUGGAGGCUGCAGCUCCUAUGAAGGCCACUGCUACUGCACAACUCUGAAACCAGUUCUAAGCAACAAUUCUAGUGAAUAAAAGGACAAGGCUUUUGCCAGGUCAGAAACCAAACUGCCACACUGUCCAGAGUGACAGCUAUAGUGACCACUAAGAGCACAGAGCACACACUAUUCCCCUUGCUCACAUUCUAGGGCCUACCUUGCAGGCCGGAUCCUUCAAACUUGCUGAGUGGGUGUCCGAGAAGUGUAGGAACCGGUCUCCUCUUGGAACAGUGCUGUGGGUCUCAUAGGGCACCUGCAGCUGGUUUUUCUCAGCAGCAGAGACGGUGGUAGAACCUUCCUUGUGGUGAUUUUGAGAGGCAUCCUGAGUGCAGCAGGAGACAGCAGGGUGUUGUGGGUAGCACCCUGUCCCUUCUCUCUGUGACUGGCUGGUGAUCAGCCUGGUAGGAACCCACAGGUCAAUGUCUGGCACUCUGUACUGUUGAGGAGUCAGUGCUCUACUCUUCUCCAGAGACGCCUCCAGCUCCACAUCUGAGUUUUCACUGCCGCUGCUGCCGUCGCUGCCACUGCUGCUGCCGUAGUCUUCACUGCUGCUGCUGCUGCUGCCGCUAGAGCUCCACUGGCUACUGUGACGGGGCCUCUGCCCUCUCUUCCUCUGCAGAUGCUGUUUCUUCUGAGGGGAGGAAUAGGCUGCCUCAGGUCUCAGAUACCCAGGCAUAUAGGUAACAGAGAAACAGGACACCCUAUGGAGAAGUUCCUUAAGGAAGAACACCUCCAGGGACAGAGCACACUGGGGCUGAGGCGACCCCUGUGAAAGGUUCAUUCAACAACCUCCCUACCAAGGGCUUGAGACCCACACGGUGAGACCCACACGGUGAGGCCCACACGGUGAGGCCCACACGGUGAGAACCACAUGGUGAGACCCACACGGUGAGACCCACACGGUGAGACCCACACGGUGAGACCCACACGGUGAGAACCACUGCUGUAAGGCGCCUUGUGAAGAAGGGAGAGAAGAGCCGUUGAUUAGUGCAUCUGACUAGGGACUUGCAUUUUGAACAUGUAAAAGCCAGUAAUCCAAAGACAGGUAAUUUAAACCUAGGAAGGGACUUGACAGGUGUUUUUCCAAAGAGAUGUACACAUGUAAGAAGCCAGCAGGUACAAGCAAUUGUACACACGGUUAGCCAUGAGGGGCUGCUGUGAGACAACUGUGUCAAAGUCUAUUCCACAAACACGUGGACGGCUUCAGCCACAAGCCUCACAUGCUGCUUGUGGGAGCACAAUAUAGAGACAUUUUGCACAGAUGACAGUUCUUCCAAAGGCCAAGCACAAGAGUCACCGACCCAAAGACGCUCUUGAGAGAAAUGAGCAUGUCUUGAUAAAUAUUUGACGGAAUGUUCAGAAUGUUCCCACGGCGCCACAUGUAUCACACAGCGCUUAUCAGGACCUUCCCUGCAAAUGCCACACUCCGGCUUUGUACCCCACACUUUCUUUCUGACAAUGAAGGAUGUUCUAUUAACAUUCUUGUCUAAUAUACAAGCUCCUGGGACACUUGGGACAAGGGAGUUUUGCAGGUACAGACUAUACUGCCCCAGCACAAUGCUGUCCCAUGCUCUGGUUUUUCUGGAGGCUAUGAUCUGUGCCCCAGGAAUACUUGUUAGUGUGUGUGUGUGUGUGUGUGUUUUAAAACAAUUCCCCUACAUGUGCGAAAUAUUUCACUGUGGUUUUGAUUUGCAUUCUUGAAAUAAGUGACUGAGCAUCUUUUAAUGGGC
This is a long non-coding RNA of Mus musculus (house mouse), 2976 nucleotides long. RefSeq annotates it as predicted gene 13562. NCBI's taxonomy places the organism in Eukaryota, Metazoa, Chordata, Mammalia, Rodentia, Muridae. The record is from RefSeq and is a predicted model, not a curated record. The transcript has 4 exons.